Molecule: long non-coding RNA, 199 nt
Filed under: Elaeis guineensis (African oil palm)
Lineage: Eukaryota; Viridiplantae; Streptophyta; Magnoliopsida; Arecales; Arecaceae
Description: long non-coding RNA (EGUI_LNC026638)
Source: RNAcentral
UGGGCAGCUAGGAACAGGAGGAUCUUUGAUAGCACCUAUAACAGUCUUUUUGGGACUAUAAUGAGAGCCAUGGUUGAUGCCACUAACUUCAUGAGGGCUAGAGAUUUGAAAGGAUCUUUAAUAGUUAAGGAAAUCUGAGGUCUUAUUAUUGUAGUUUCUGCAUCUCAGAUAUAUUUCUCAUGGGAACCCCCAUUCUUAG